Molecule: ribosomal RNA, 552 nt
Filed under: uncultured bacterium
Lineage: Bacteria
Description: bacterial SSU rRNA
Rfam family: Bacterial small subunit ribosomal RNA
Source: RNAcentral
AAAUAGAUACCCGGGUAGUCCACGCCGUAAACGAUGACGUGCUAAGUGCUGGGGGGUUUCCGCCCCUCAGUGCUGCAGCUAACGCAUUAAGCACUCCGCCUGGGGGAGUACGGUCGCAAGACUGAAACUCAAAGGAAUUGACGGGGGCCCGCACAAGCGGUGGAGCAUGUGGUUUAAUUCGAAGCAACGCGAAGAACCUUACCAGGUCUUGACAUCCCGGUGACCACUAUGGAGACAUAGUUUCCCCUUCGGGGGCAACGGUGACAGGUGGUGCAUGGUUGUCGUCAGCUCGUGUCGUGAGAUGUUGGGUUAAGUCCCGCAACGAGCGCAACCCUUAUUCUUAGUUGCCAUCAUUUAGUUGGGCACUCUAAGGAGACUGCCGGUGAUAAACCGGAGGAAGGUGGGGAUGACGUCAAAUCAUCAUGCCCCUUAUGACCUGGGCUACACACGUGCUACAAUGGACGGUACAAACGGUUGCCAACCCGCGAGGGGAGCUAAUCCGAUAAACCCGUUCUCAGUUCGGAUUGUAGGCUGCAACUCGCCUACAUGAAC